UCUGGAAACGGAGAUCAUCUCCAAAGAAGACCAUCAUUUUCUACUAUGGACAAUGUGGAUGCUAGUUCUCUCCCAUUCACAGGUGUGGAAAUGGCCUGUAGCCUGCAGGAGCCUGAGGAGAAGAGAGGAGCUAGCAGCCCCAGUCAAGUCUAGCGAAGUGCAUCUUGGCCUGCAGUGAUGGCUGUUUCCCCCAGAAAGUUCUUCCACUUCUGGAUCCCACCUCGACUGAACCUUACACAAUCUACUGCUGGACUUUCCAAUGGCAUGAGUUGGGGAAAGAAGCUGAACUCAGGAGGUGGCAUGACCAGCCCAAUGCUACACAACUAAGGAGUUGCAGACCCAGACCCAGGACUGCCCCUUUCCAAGUCAAAGAAUAUGUUCUCACUCCUGUACAGGAUGCAAAUCACAGGCAGAUGAUUCCCAAAGACUCUUCUCCUCCGCCCAGAUCUUGAUGUCCUACCAUCCCCUGAAGUUGAUGUAUGUGGGGUUCUGAAAGGUCUCAACACGUGGCAGUAGGCAGCAGAAUUAAUUCCCUGUGCCUCCUGCAAUUCCCUGAGCCUCCCUUUCUCAAAACGCCAGCUUUCUCACAAGGAUAGCCUGAGACAUACGGAAGUGGGAAUGAUGUUCUGUUCUCAGGUGAAGUGUUUGUGCAUAUGUGUGUGUCGGGGGAGAGGAAGGUAAGCAAAACCAGUUGUUCUCAGAUGACUUGCAGCACCUGAGCAUGUCCUUUAUUUUAUCUUUUUUUUAAAAAAAAUACUUAAUAGCAUUUUCACUUCCUAGUUUCUCCAUUAUGUUGAAGUUGAAUAGUCUUUGGUAGGUCUUGUCUUACUUUUCAAGAACAUUAUGGGAAUUCUGCAAAAAGAUAGCUACAUGCAAAGCUAUCAUUUCUAUUGUUACAAAAAUAUGUGACACACUUACCUUAUGCUAUCAAAGAUGAAUGCUAUCCUCCACAUAUCCUUUAAAUGGGCUUCACAAGAAGAGGAUGGUCCCAUUUCUGAACAUUGCCUUGUCAAUGGAUGAGGAGGUUUGCACUCAGUCAAACUGGUUAAGCUAGAAUCAUAUUUCCCUAAAUCUCUUGUCCUGUUUAUUUCCAGGUGAUGAUUGGCCAAUAAAAUAAAUUUAGACGUGAUUUGGAUAGUAAAAAUGAAGCCACAGUCACUGAUCACUGAAGAUCAUUGUGGGUACAGGUGGGAGCUAAGAGCUAGCAAGGUAUCAGUGGGAUUUACAAGUCUUUUCUUUAUUCUUUAUCCUGCUCUUCUUGUCAAUUGCCAGAUUUCCUGACCAACAAAGGGCCCAGGCCGACUGCCACAAGUCUGAAUGCAGACCUGCAGAAGCAGCAGCAACUCAAAAGGACAGCAUUCCACAGACCUUCCCUGCACUGCCCUUCAUAGCCCACUCUGCAGCUGGACCUGCCUACUCGCCAUACACCCUGAAAGCUCCCACUUAUCCACCUAACCUCAACUUGCUCUAGUGUUCGAGGAGGGCUGAGUGGUGGUUUUCCUCGGGCCUUCCAACACUUGCCCUUCUCCCCCAAGUAUUACAAGCCCUCAUUCUAAAUAUAUCCCUGAUUUCAUAAUACUAAUAGAAGUGCUGCUUCUCUGAUUAAACCCUGACUGACACAUGGAGUGUUUUAUUACCAUUUAAUAAACAUCAUGUCAAACCUAAUGAUUUACGGUCAACAUAAAUUACACAGGGAAGGUGAGCAAAAGAAUCCCUUUCCUUUUUGCCUCUAUGCUGUUCUAGUUUCAGCUGGCCUGAGCUUCCCUCUCUUGGACUCUUCAGUCUAACAGCUAACCCAUAUAUGACACAAAGAUCAAAGGUCAGAUUCUUGGGCUCCAUUAAGGCUGCUACUUUAAAUGACAGCACUAUUUAUGGACUCUUUAUUGAAGACAGAUCACCCUUGGAGGCUGCCACAACCUUUACUCAUAAAUCAGACAUCAAGUGCCUCUUGGGGGCUAAAUACUGCCUCUCCUGUUGAAGACAUGAAGGGGUGUAACAUAUACUCAAUUUGCUGCCACACAAGGAUUUAGAAUCUGCUUACUCCCUCAACCUAGGACUCAAGGUCCAGACAAGGAAAUUUGAUUUUUUUUUUCUUCCUUUUUCUUUCCCUGCCAGCCACACACACCAGCCGGUGUUCCCAGGGGACACUGGCAACUGUAUGUAGGCUGAGCUUUGGCGUAGAAGAAAUAAA
RNAcentral lists this long non-coding RNA (2191 nucleotides) under Homo sapiens (human). RNAcentral's name for it is "HSALNT0371334". The record is from RNAcentral. Lineage: Eukaryota; Metazoa; Chordata; Mammalia; Primates; Hominidae.